This is a non-coding RNA of Diatrype stigma, 108 nucleotides long. The record is from the annotation of a GenBank genome assembly. Lineage: Eukaryota; Fungi; Ascomycota; Sordariomycetes; Xylariales; Diatrypaceae.
GGGCUGGUAGCUCAGUGGCAGAGCAGUGGAUUGCAAUGAUUGGAUCCUCCAAAGGAUUACAAGACUUGGAAUCUCCAAAGGUCGCUGGUUCAAUCCCGGCUCAGCCCU